This 583-nucleotide long non-coding RNA is filed under the name Sorghum bicolor (sorghum). RNAcentral's name for it is "long non-coding RNA (SBIC_LNC009668)". The record is from RNAcentral. Lineage: Eukaryota; Viridiplantae; Streptophyta; Magnoliopsida; Poales; Poaceae.
UGAGAUAUCUUUAGUGAUAGAUCAUCGAUCGAUAAAUAUUAUUUUUAGCGAUAGACAUCUAAUGCUAAUGCAAUGUUGUGGUACGGUGUAGUGUGUUGUGCAGUACGUAAGAGACAACGCUAGGAGAGCCAACUUAUACUAAGAAUUAAGGUCACAUUAUUUGGUUAGGCCUAGCCUGGCUCCAGUUCCACCAUUCAAAUAGCAUUGUAGCAGAGCUAGAGAAGUCCAAAGGUAUUAGCUUGAAGCUCCUACCAUCGAUCGGUUCAUUAUUAGCGAAGCCAGGACCUUUCGAAUUGUGUUGUAUAGUGUUCAAUAUAUAGUGCAAGAGGCUGAAAACCUGGAGCCAUCGGAGCUCAACCAAAACUAUCCCAAUUAUUUGCUUCCACUUUGCACAUUUGAAUCUUUAUACAUACUCAAGGAUUAGAACACAUGCACCCACUUUUACAUGAUUGGCAUAAAUAAAUUUGAAUUGGUUCAACUAGGAUGUUGACUCGCACUGCUUGGCUACUGUAAAACACAGGCACAUCAGAGCCCAUGCCUCCAAAAUUUGUGAUUAUUGUGCCGUAGAACAGCAUUUGCUACU